This 102-nucleotide non-coding RNA is filed under the name Scrippsiella trochoidea. Lineage: Eukaryota; Dinophyceae; Peridiniales; Peridiniaceae. The record is from RNAcentral.
CACGCGGAGACGCGGAUCGCGAUGGUAACCGCAUGGGCGUUUCCAUGGACGCUGUCUUGCUGAGUUAAUUAAGUAGCUGGCUCGUUUCUUCUCUAAGAGUCG